RNAcentral lists this ribosomal RNA (253 nucleotides) under uncultured bacterium. Its description in RNAcentral is "partial 16S ribosomal RNA". It matches the Rfam family "Bacterial small subunit ribosomal RNA", at positions 524 to 776 of the family's 1533-position model. The record is from RNAcentral.
UACGUAGGGGGCAAGCGUUGUCCGGAUUUAUUGGGCGUAAAGAGCGUGUAGGCGGCUAGGUAGGUCCGUUGUGAAAACUCGAGGCUCAACCUCGAGACGUCGAUGGAAACCAUCUAGCUAGAGUCCGGAAGAGGCAAGUGGAAUUCCCGGUGUAGCGGUGAAAUGCGCAGAUAUCGGGAGGAACACCUAUGGCGAAGGCAGCUUGCUGGGACGGUACUGACGCUGAGACGCGAAAGCGUGGGGAGCAAACAGG